GCCGCGAUGAGUGAAGAAGGCCUUAGGGUUGUAAAGCUCUUUCGCCCGUGACGAUGAUGACGGUAACGGGAGAAGAAGCCCCGGCUAAUUCCGUGCCAGCAGCCGCGGUAAUACGGAAGGGGCUAGCGUUGUUCGGAUUUACUGGGCGUAAAGCGCAUGUAGGCGGCGGAUCAAGUGGGGCGUGAAAGGCCUGGGCUCAACCUGGGAACUGCGCUUCAGACUGGUUCGCUCGAGUUCGGGAGAGGGUGGUGGAAUUCCCAGUGUAGAGGUGAAAUUCGUAGAUAUUGGGAGGAACACCGGUGGCGAAGGCGGCCACCUGGCCCGAGACUGACGCUCAAGUGCGAAAGCGUGGGGAGCAAACAGGAUUAGAUACCCUGGUAGUCCACGCUGUAAACGAUGGGUGCUAGAUGUCGGGGGGCUUGCUCUUCGGUGUCGCAGCUAACGCGUUAAGCACCCCGCCUGGGGAGUACGGCCGCAAGGUUAAAACUCAAAUGAAUUGACGGAA
RNAcentral lists this ribosomal RNA (505 nucleotides) under uncultured bacterium. Its description in RNAcentral is "bacterial SSU rRNA". It matches the Rfam family "Bacterial small subunit ribosomal RNA", at positions 396 to 918 of the family's 1533-position model. The record is from RNAcentral.